GAACGUUGGCGGUGUGCCUAAUACAUGCAAGUCGAGCGAGAAAACCGGGGCAACUCGGUGAGUACAGCGGCGGAAGGGUGCGUAAUACAUGGAUAACGUACCCCCCAGAUCGGGAUAACCCUCCGAAAGGUGGGCUAAUACCGGGUAAUGGCAGCGGGUGGCAUCAUUUGCUGCUUAAAGACGCAAGUCGCUGGGGGAGCGGUCCAUGGCCUAUCAGCUAGUUGGCGGGGUAACGGCCCACCAAGGCGAUGACGGGUAGCCGGACUGAGAGGUUGAACGGCCACACGGGAACUGAGACACGGUCCCGACAUCUACGGAUGGCAGCAGUAGGGAAUCUUGCACAAUGGGCGAAAGCCUGAUGCAGCGACACCGCGUGGGGGAUGAAGGCCUUCGGGUUGUAAACCCCUUUCAUGAGGGAAGAAUACUGACCUAACCUCAGGAAGAAGCACCGGCUAACUCCGUGCCAGCAGCUGCGGUAAUACGGAGAGUGCAAACGUUGUUCGGAUUCACUGGGCGUAAAGGGCACGUAGGCGGCUCGGCAAAUCGGUCGUGGAAUCUCGACGCUUACCGUCGAAACGGCGGCCGAAAAUACCGGGCUCGAGGGCGUGAGGGGUCACUGGAACUCCUGGUGAAGCGGUGAAAUGCGUAGAUAUCAGGAGGAACGCCGGAGGCGAAAGCGAGUGACUGGCGCGUUCCUGACGCUGAGGUGCGAAAGCUAGGGGAGCAAACAGGAUUAGAUACCCUGGUAGUCCUAGCCGUAAACGAUGGACACUGAGUGAAGGAGGGCUUGCCCUUCUUUGCUGCAGCUAACGCGUUAAGUGUCCCGCCUGGGGAGUACGGCCGCAAGGUUUAAACUCAAAU
Molecule: ribosomal RNA, 861 nt
Filed under: uncultured bacterium
Lineage: Bacteria
Description: bacterial SSU rRNA
Rfam family: Bacterial small subunit ribosomal RNA
Source: RNAcentral